CACACAACUCUCAAUAAACAACAAUCAUAAUCUUCCAUCUAUAAUCAAUCUUCCAAUAACUUUUCAUAUAAUUCAAUCACUCAGUACUCCAAUUACAUAAUCAAUAACUCAUAAAUCAAUCUCUGAUUUUUUCCACAGACUCACUUCUCAAUAUUCAAAAAUUAUCCAUCAUUCUUCAACAACAAAGAAAACAAAAAAAAAUAAAGAGGAAGCACCAAGCUUAAUCCCAGCUCAUGACUAUCACAGUCUAAUAUCCCAACAAACUUCUACAACUCCUAUAUAAUUGCUACUGAUUUCCAGAUCUUAAUCGUAAUCCUAUAAUAACUACUUUUAAUAACUGAAAUAAUCAUCUAUCCUCUCAAACUGACUAUUCUAUGGACUAUUAGUUUAUUUUACCAAUAUCUUACAAAAAUGAACUAAUAUCUAUUCUACAUAGCCUCACUCCUAUCUGUGUAGCAUCUUCGCAAAGUCACAAUAAAUACCUAUCUAAAAACUACUUAACAAAACUCUAUAAAAUUACUAGUUCCUUUGGUCCACCCAAUUAAUCAUUUGUUGUAUUAUCGAAUGUAGGUUCCACCAAUU
Molecule: long non-coding RNA, 582 nt
Filed under: Physcomitrium patens
Lineage: Eukaryota; Viridiplantae; Streptophyta; Bryopsida; Funariales; Funariaceae
Description: long non-coding RNA (PPAT_LNC010494)
Source: RNAcentral